UUGCUUCAGCAGCAUAUAUAAUAAAAUUGGAAUGAUACAGAGAAGAUUUGUAUGGGCCCUAGGUAAGAAUGACACGCAGAUUUGUGAAGCAUUGAAUAUUUUU
Small nuclear RNA from Sarcophilus harrisii (Tasmanian devil), 103 nucleotides. Lineage: Eukaryota; Metazoa; Chordata; Mammalia; Dasyuromorphia; Dasyuridae. The record is from Ensembl.